UACGGGGGGGGCAAGCGUUGUUCGGAAUUACUGGGCGUAAAGGGCUCGUAGGCGGCCAACUAAGUCGGACGUGAAGUCCCCAGGCUCAACCUGGGAACUGCGUCCGAUACUGGAUGGCUUGAAUCCGGGAGAGGGAUGCAGAAUUCCAGGUGUAGCGGUGAAAUGCGUAGAUAUCUGGAGGAAUACCGGUGGCGAAGGCGGCAUCCUGGACCGGCAUUGACGCUGAGGAGCGAAAGCCAGGGGAGCAAACGGG
RNAcentral lists this ribosomal RNA (253 nucleotides) under uncultured bacterium. RNAcentral describes it as "partial 16S ribosomal RNA". It matches the Rfam family "Bacterial small subunit ribosomal RNA", at positions 524 to 776 of the family's 1533-position model. The record is from RNAcentral.